Molecule: ribosomal RNA, 490 nt
Filed under: uncultured bacterium
Lineage: Bacteria
Description: partial 16S ribosomal RNA
Rfam family: Bacterial small subunit ribosomal RNA
Source: RNAcentral
AUUGAACGCUGGCGGCAGGCCUAACACAUGCAAGUCGAACGGUAACAGGAAACAGCUUGCUGUUUCGCUGACGAGUGGCGGACGGGUGAGUAAUGUCUGGGAAACUGCCUGAUGGAGGGGGAUAACUACUGGAAACGGUAGCUAAUACCGCAUAACGUCGCAAGACCAAAGAGGGGGACCCUCGGGCCUCUUGCCAUCGGAUGUGCCCAGAUGGGAUUAGCUUGUUGGUGGGGUAACGGCUCACCAAGGCGACGAUCCCUAGCUGGUCUGAGAGGAUGACCAGCCACACUGGAACUGAGACACGGUCCAGACUCCUACGGGAGGCAGCAGUGGGGAAUAUUGCACAAUGGGCGCAAGCCUGAUGCAGCCAUGCCGCGUGUAUGAAGAAGGCCUUCGGGUUGUAAAGUACCUUCAGCGGGGAGGAGGGGAGUAAAGUUAAUACCUUUGCUCAUUGACGUUACCCGCAGAAGAAGCACCGGCUAACUCCGUG